GGACGAACGCUGGCGGCGUGCCUAAUACAUGCAAGUAGAACGCUGAAGGAGGAGCUUGCUCUUCUGGAUGAGUUGCGAACGGGUGAGUAACGCGUAGGUAACCUGCCUGGUAGCGGGGGAUAACUAUUGGAAACGAUAGCUAAUACCGCAUAAUAGUAGAUGUUGCAUGACAUUUGCUUAAAAGGUGCAAUUGCAUCACUACCAGAUGGACCUGCGUUGUAUUAGCUAGUUGGUGGGGUAACGGCUCACCAAGGCGACGAUACAUAGCCGACCUGAGAGGGUGAUCGGCCACACUGGGACUGAGACACGGCCCAGACUCCUACGGGAGGCAGCAGUAGGGAAUCUUCGGCAAUGGACGGAAGUCUGACCGAGCAACGCCGCGUGAGUGAAGAAGGUUUUCGGAUCGUAAAGCUCUGUUGUAAGAGAAGAACGAGUGUGAGAGUGGAAAGUUCACACUGUGACGGUAUCUUACCAGAAAGGGACGGCUAACCACGUGCCAGCAGCCGCGGUAAUACGUAGGUCCCGAGCGUUGUCCGGAUUUAUUGGGCGUAAAGCGAGCGCAGGCGGUUAGAUAAGUCUGAAGUUAAAGGCUGUGGCUUAACCAUAGUACGCUUUGGAAACUGUUUAACUUGAGUGCAAGAGGGGAGAGUGGAAUUCCAUGUGUAGCGGCGAAAUGCGUAGAUAUAUGGAGGAACACCGGUGGCGAAAGCGGCUCUCUGGCUUGUAACUGACGCUGAGGCUCGAAAGCGUGGGGAGCAAACAGG
RNAcentral lists this ribosomal RNA (764 nucleotides) under uncultured Bacillota bacterium. RNAcentral describes it as "bacterial SSU rRNA". It matches the Rfam family "Bacterial small subunit ribosomal RNA", at positions 27 to 776 of the family's 1533-position model. The record is from RNAcentral. Lineage: Bacteria; Bacillati; Bacillota.